This 91-nucleotide ribosomal RNA is filed under the name Torymus geranii. RNAcentral's name for it is "partial 5.8S rRNA". Lineage: Eukaryota; Metazoa; Arthropoda; Insecta; Hymenoptera; Torymidae. The record is from RNAcentral.
UUUUUGAACUGCAGGACACAUGAANAUCGACAUUUCGAACGCACAUUGCGGUCCACGGAUACGAUUCCGGGACCACGCCUGGCUGAGGGUC